This 236-nucleotide ribosomal RNA is filed under the name uncultured bacterium. RNAcentral describes it as "partial 16S ribosomal RNA". It matches the Rfam family "Bacterial small subunit ribosomal RNA", at positions 103 to 334 of the family's 1533-position model. The record is from RNAcentral.
CGGGUGAGUAACGCGUAGGUAACCUGCCUGGUAGCGGGGGGUAACUAUUGGAAACGAUAGCUAAUACCGCACGACAACAGUUAUUGCAUGAUAACUGUUUAAAAGGGGCAAUUGCUCCACUACCAGAUGGACCUGCGUUGUAUUAGCUAGUUGGUGAGGUAACGGCCCACCAAGGCGACGAUACAUAGCCGACCUGAGAGGGUGAUCGGCCACACUGGGACUGAGACACGGCCCAG